GAGUAUGGUUUCAAUGGAUGGAAUUGAUAUAGGCUUUCUCUGUACCGACAGUGGGAUGACCAGUAUGGAGGUAUCGUUGCACACAUCUCGGGAGAGACAUAGGAGAGGAAGACUUGGAAGAGGGUUCGCUGGAGGAACACAGGAGUCUAGGAGCAUUGUGCUGACAAAGAGAUGGUCAAAAUAGUCCUGAAGUCAAAACCUGGUGGAGAUAAAAUAAAGUCUGAAUAUGAUAAAACCAAAACUUUGUCAGACAGCAUCCGCACACAGUUCCAUGCUUGUUCCGGACAUGACUGAAGUUGGGUAAGAAUUUGAAUAUAAAUGAUGGAUUAUGAAUAUGAUCCGAGUUAAAAAAAAAAAAAAAAAAAAAUUAAGUACCCUUUUAGUAUGAUUUUUGUUGAAAGGUUAUUUUGUCCCCAAUUCCCUUUGUUUACCAAUGUCCCUGCUUUAUGUCUCAAAACAGAAGAACUCCUCUACAAACUGUGUGGACAAAGUAUGCACUAGGUAUCGUCACUUUGCUUCCUAACCUGGAGGACCCAUACUUUAAAAACGGAUAUGUAAGUUCUUUUUUUCAGAUUAUACAGUGCUAAAAAAU
This is a long non-coding RNA of Cyprinus carpio carpio, 592 nucleotides long. Lineage: Eukaryota; Metazoa; Chordata; Actinopteri; Cypriniformes; Cyprinidae. The record is from Ensembl.